UUUGAUUAGGAAAAUAUUUUCCCCUAAUUAAUUUUUCUCAGUGCUCCAAACGCCAAAAAAUGUGAAAAAUAUUUUUCUAGAAAAUAAUUUUUGUGAAACACACGCAGCGUAAAAUAGAGUUUAUUUUCCCUCAAACAAAAAGCAACUACAGACGUGCUUUAGUCUCUACCAAAACUCUCUCAACAUAUAACCAAAUCUGUGAGAGGGGUUGCUUCUUAUAGGUGACAGCCCCUCUCUCCUUUCCUUCUCUAGAUCUUUCUUUGUUUUUCCCUUCUUUUUCUACUUUCAUAGAUUCCUGCAUUUUAGUUUUGUAUUUUCUUCUAAUAACUCUUAAAUGUAUGCCAUUUUGAAAAGAUGCUGAGAAUUUAUUCUCAUAUCUGCUCUUUGAUAAAAUCUAGAGUUUAUCUCUCCCUGUUAGUGGGAGUUAUUAUAUAUUGUUUAUAGUUGUUAGGAAUGGUACCAAGUAGGGAACCUGCAAAUUCAAAAUAACCUAAACCCGUUUAUAUCUAUAACACCCAAACCCAUUAAGAAAUUAGUUUCCAAGUGCAUCCGGUCCAACCCAUUUAUCAUUACCUGCACACUACCCAAAUCUACCAGAACACAAUUACCUUUAACUAAUUUUGCUGAAAUGUUGAUCACAAAAUAGAUUUAUGCGUUAAAUUAGCCGGACCGAAAACCAAAUCAUUAAAAAUGACUUUUUAAAAAGAACAAAUAAUGAAAUUGAUCAUAAAAAAAAAAUAUAAGUGAAGUUAAAGUUGAAACAAACAACAUUAAUAUAAUUCUAAAUGAAGCGUAACCCUUCUAAGUUCAUAAACAUAAUAAUAAAUAUAAAAUUUAAACAUAAUUGCAAUAAAAAGAAGCUGAAAGACAUAGUUAAUUUAAAUAAAACAAAAAAGCCAAACAACAGCAUAUUAGAAAUGUUAUCACAAAUUACAACACGGAUCUAAAAGAUACUUUAAAGCAAGAUGGUUCCUUCAAAGCCUUCAGCAAAAAAAUCAUUAUCACCACUAAGGGAUUCCCACAGAAUCUUAACAAUAUCAGUUAGUCCUGAAGACUUAAAUUUGAAGGCACAACAAAAAGGUAGCGACAAUAGAUGGUACAAUUGCGUUAUGGACCUGAGAGCUGAGGUUUUAAUUUGAGUGGAAAAGUUGCUGGAAUUUUAGCAGCCAUAAUAAUAUAUCAGGGGAAAUUUAUAUUUCAGCAUUUUCCCUUUUUUUCUGUUUAAUUUUUUUUUUUCUGUGUAAGAGUCCUUGAAAACCAUUUUCCCGAUAAAUAUAAUGAAAUAAAUCCCAGUUUUCUCAUCCAUAUAUCCUUUUGCUUGAGAGAAACACUUGACGAACUCAGAUAACAUCAGACCCAAUGGAGCAGUACAUAAGGCUAUGAAUGGAUUACCUCUAAUAACAUAUAAAAAAUAAGACCCAUUAAAAUCAUGACACGUGUACAUGUGAUUCAAAAGGGGUAUGCGAACCUUUCUAUCUAAUUGGACCAGACAAUAGAAAGCCCCGACCUAUUGAGUAUAACAAAUCAGACCACCGACACCCUUGAAUUUACCAAAGCCCAGAGUAGAUAAACCAAUCUCCUCAAAGCCCGAAUAAAACGGACAGACCUCUUCAAAACUCAUACUACAACAAGGCUUUGAACAUAGAUGUGGCCGACUUCAGUGACCAGAAGGAACUAACCUUCAUAUAGGUCGGAUGAACCAGACACGACAUGAUGAAGCCAGCCGACCUCCCACGUACUGGUCGUCUCUUGGUACGGCACAAGGUUGGUACGGCACAAGGUUGGUACGGCCCAAGGAUUAUAAAUGUGCGUGCUGACUGUACGAAUUGGCCAGCUCCAUUUUUAUUGCCCUGUCGCUUAUUAUUAAUGGGUCGACUGACACACCUACACAAAAACAUCCCUAACCAGUAGGAUGGGGACACAACACCAGGGGUGUAGCUAUCAGAGGUAUAUAUAUCACUUGUUGGAAAGAAUAUUCUGCCAUAAUUAUAAUUAAUCAGUGAUUAACAUUACCAUAGUUAGCAUAAUUCUAGGCGAUAAUUGAUAGCAUAAUCAUAGGCAUAAUUGAUCAUAUCUUGUACUAUAUAAUCCUUAUAUCCUAUUACACAAAAAGAAAGAAAAUGAAAAAUAUUUUUCUUUCUAUAAUUCUAGAUGGUAUCAAAGCGGGUUUCGAUCUAAAAGUUUAGCCGAUUUUUCCUGCAAUCAUCAUUUGCAGGAAUACCUUUCCCAACCUUCUCUAACCGAGAAACAGCAAUGGCUGAUUCUUCUAGCCAAGAGUCCAGUCGGUUAUGGUGAUUUUAAGAUUUGUUGGUUUCUGAUAUGCAUUUUGGCUAUUUUUGGCUACACGGUCUUCACAUUCCUAAAUCACAUCGCACUAAACUUGAUCCGUGUGCUCUUAAGUGUGUGUUCCUCGGUUAUGGUGUCCAUAGAAAGAGCUAUUGGUGUUUUGACCCAAUCUCUCUAAUAGACUCUUCACCACUAUGGAUUGCACUUUUCUUGAAGACGAGUAUUUUUUCUCCUCGCCAACUGGCAGUGAGGGAGAGAAUACAGCAAAACCACUACUUCCAAGUUGGCUUAGCUAUACUGAGGGAGAGUCAGAAAAUGUACAGUCCUCAAUCUCAAUGCCACAUCCAGAGCCUGCCACCGUAGAAUAUCAUGAGGAAUACGCCAAUGAGGUAUAUGAAUAUGAACCCUCUCCUUCCUCUAAUAACUUUACCACUGAACCCAUCUCCCUUGAGUCUCCUGAAACAGGCCACUAUGUACUACCCCCUCAGAGUAACAGAGAAGUUCCACCCAUGAGGUAUGAUCCAGAAUUCAAGGUAGCAAGAUCUAAGUAUCCUAUGGCAAAUAUUACUAGAGGAGAGAAUCUAUCACCUCAGUUUAUCACACUACAAAAAAAUAUUUGCUUAGAAUGGAUACCAAAGGAUGCCACAGAGGCCUAGAAGGACAAGAGAUGGAUUGAAGCAAUGGAGAUCGACAUGGAUGCCUUGGAGAAAAAUAAAAUCUGGGAGAAAUGCUGGCUACCCAAGGGAAAAUGACCAGUGGGAUGCAAAUGGGUGUUUACUGUAAAGUAUAAGCCGGAUGGAACGAUGUAGAUAUAAAGCCCGACUGGUAGCAAAAGGAUACACUCAGACCUAUGGAGUCAACUACUCCGAAACGUUCUCUCCAGUAGCAAAAAUUGAUACAAUACGAAUCCUAUUCUCUCUUGCUGCAAACCUAGACUGGCCACUUCACCAGUUUGAUGUGAAGAAUGCUUUCCUGCACAGCAAUCUGAAAGAGGAAGUUUACAUGGAUGCUCCACCAGGGUUCACGAGUGGAUAUAGACGGGGAGAAGUGUGUCGAUUAAGACGAGCCUUGUAUAGGUUGAAACAGUCUCCCAGAGCAUGGUUUGGGAGAUUUACCCAAGCAAUGAAGAAAUAUGGAUAUCGGCAGAGUAACUGUGAUCACACCCUAUUCUUGUGGAGACGAGGAAGAAAAAUCACGUGUUUGAUUAUAUACAUGGACGACAUGAUUAUAACAGGAGACAAUGUGGACGAGAUCAAACGGCUGAUGGACAAUUUAUUCCAAGAAUUUGAGAUGAAAGACCUGGGGGGUUAAAAUACUUCAUUGGGAUUGAAGUUCUCAGGUCAAAUCAGGGAAUCCUAAUAUCACAAAGAAGAGAAAAUACAUCCUUGAUCUGUUAGCCGAAAAAGGAAUGAUAGACUGCAAGCUGGUUGAUACUUCAGUAAUGGUCAAUCAUGAGUUGAGCAAAGAUUCAGAAGGACCAGCAGAUAGGGGAAGGUACCAAAGACUGGUAGGAAGGCUGAUUUACUUAUCACACAUCAGACCAGACGUGGCGUAUGCUGUGAGUUUAGUAAGUCAGUUCAUGCACGAUCCAAAACAAGACCAUAUGGAGGCAGCAUUGAGGAUUGUUCAAUAUCUGAAAGGAACAGCUGGGAUGGGCAUGUUGUUUAGUUCAUGCACGAUCCAAAACAAGACCAUAUGGAGGCAACAUGCAUUGAGGAUUGUUCAAUAUCUGAAAGGAACAGCUGGGAUGGGCAUGUUGUUCAAGAAGAAUGGUCAUCUCAAUAGCUGACAGACGAUCCACUUCAGGAUAUUUUACCUUCGUUUGAGGUAACUUGGUGACAUGGAAAAGUAAGAAGCAAAAGGUGGUGGCACUGUCCAGUGCUGAAGCAGAAUUUAGCGGAAUGGCAAAAGGACUUGCAGAGCCACUAUGGAUCAGAAAGUUGAUGUUUGAGCUUGGAUUUCCAUCAGGGGACGCAGCUGAACUUCGUUGUGACAAUAAGGCAGCAAUCAGCAUUUCCGAAAAUCCUGUUCAACAUGAUCGAACAAAACAUGUUGAAAUAAACCGACAUUUCAUCAAGGAAAAGUUAGACAAUGGUUUGAUAUCAUUACCGUUUGUUCGACUGAACGAAUAUUCCAUAAAGUUUUGGGCAAGUUGGGCAUGUUGGAUCCACAUGAACCAACUUGAGGGGGAGUGUUGGAAAGAGUAUUUUGCCAUAAUUGUAAUUAAUCAGUGAUUAACACUACCAUAGUUAGCAUAAUCCUAGCAUGAUUCUAGGCGAUAAUUGAUAGCAUAAUCAUAGGCAUCUUGUACUAUAUAAUCCUUAUAUCUUAUUACACAAAAAAAAAAUGAAAAAUAUUUUUCUUCCCAUAAUUCUAGAUCACUGAUUUAAUCUAAAAAGGUGCCUCUUCUUCUUCUCCAAGGGAAAAAACCCUCUCCAGGAGAGGACGGGCUCCUCUCUCUCUUAGGCUCUUAGAAGCUUCUCCCUGGAACUCUUAAACUACAUGCUCUCCGGAAAUCCCUUUUGGAUGUUUUAUUGUUAUUUAUUUUCUCUUCACAUUAAUGAAUGAGAUAAUUCCAAAUCUAACUUGAGCGUCGAAAGGUAUUUCUAGUGGACCCCUUACCGUCUUUUUCUACCUUAAAGAUCCCUUACCGUCUUUUUCUGCCUUAAAAAUCCCUUUCCUCAAGAUAAGAUAUGGAGAGACCUAACGAAAUCAAUCACGAAGCAACAAUCAAUCCAUACCCAUUGAAUUGAGCCGCUGCUCAGGUAUCUGCAUCUAGACACCCCAUUGGAUAUCGCAUCAUAGAGUGGUGUCGUAUGUGGGAAAUGAAGGAGAUUGUCCUAUCACUGGAGUUUCCAAACAAAACCCAUUGAGAUCCACAUGACAAACCAAGAAAACCUAACAGUCAAAUAACAAGGUAGACCAAAAGAAAGAGAGAUGGUGAAAAGACCCAAGAAUCACCUGUAUCUAAAAUGCUGAUGUGAGAAGAAAAAGCAACUCGGAGCAAUCCAUCAACCAUGAAAAACGAGGAGUGACGUGCACCAGUUACCCAAGUUGUACAAUUACUUUCUUUAGCUCAAAGUAUUUUUGCUAUUAUGAACUAGUAAAAAAAUUUAAAACCUUGGACGAAAAGCUUUGUGUAUAUGAACCUGAAAUAUAACGGUAUACUGAAGUAGCUUAAAAGGCUCUUAUCUGUGAUUAAUAUUAGCAUGAUUCUACUGAAAAAAGAAUUUAAAGCAUGCUGCUAUAUGAUUUGAAAGCUGUGAAGGAAUUUAUGCAUGAGAAACAUUAUUUACUAGAUUUUUUAGAAUCAUAUGAGAUGAUAUAGUCGUACAAAAUUAAUAUUUUGCAUUCAGUUGAAAUAUAAAGCUAAAUAUCUUACUAUUUUAAAUUAACAAUGAGCAUUCUCGUUGCAUAUAAUUUGCGCAAGCCUUUAUUUUUCAGAAAAAAUUCAGAAGCAAGAAAAAGGCUAGAGAGUCAGAGCUAAGAGCCCGAAAAUCACUCAAGGAAAAAAAAAAAGGUUCGGAAGCCAACCCAGGGCUAAAAGUGCCCGAAAGUAAAAGAGCAAAUAUGCUCGAAGGCAAACCUAGGGCUAAAAGUGCUCGGAAGUAAACAAGCAAAAAUGCUCUGAAGCGAGUCUAAGGCUAAAAGAGCCUGAAAGAUGCACAAAAGAAAAAGUGCUCGAAAAGAGAGUCAAGACUAAAGAGCCCGGAAGUCAACCAGGCAAACCAAAGAGCAAAUCAGAGCUAAAAAGCUCGAGAAUACGGGAGGUAGAAAGCGCUCGGACGGAUAACCAAGGUUGAGAACCCAGAAGAUAACUUGAAGCUAAGGAUCUUACAUGCUACAGUGUUCAUUAAUCAAUAUUAUUCAAUCAACAAGGAACAUUCUCGUUACAUAUACUCUGUGCAAAUUUAUGUGCAAGCUCCAAUUUUGCACACAAAUUUAAAAGUAAGAGGAAGACUAAUAAGCCUGGGAGCCACAACUACAAAACGAAAAAGAAGCUCAAGAGGCAGGUGUCAGCCUUGGAAAUAGACCCCUGACACCAAAAAGCCGAAUUGAGGAAAUAAAGAAGCCCAAUGAGGUAGAUGCCGGCAUAAAAAUAGACUUCCGGCACCAAAAAGCCGAGUUAAGGAAAUAAACAAGCCCAAUGUGGCAAAUGCCGACCUCAGAAAUAGACCACUGGCACCAAAAAGCCGAAUUGAGGAAAUAAAGAAGCACAAUGAGAUAGGUGACGGCCUCAAAAAUAGAUCCCUAGCACCAAAAAGCCAAAUUGGGAAAACAAAAAAGCCUAAUCCAGACAAGGGCCAAACUCAGAAAUAGACCCCUGGCACCACUAAGCAUUGAGGAAUCAAAUAAAGAAGACCCAACCAAGACAGGUGCCGGACUCGAAAAAUUUACUCCUGGUACUAGGUAAACCAAGUUAAGGUAUAAAAUGAAUGAAAAAUGCAACCAUUAUGGAAUAACGCUUAAGGGAAAAAAGUCUGAAAAGCGCUUAAGAGGAAAAAUAGCCCGGAAGAGCAAAAAUGCUCGGAAGACGCUUAAAAGCAACAAUGCUCAAAAAGCACAUGAGGGCAAAAAUGCUAGAAAAAUACAAAAAGCCAUAGUAACCCCGGAUAAUGCUUAAGGGCAAAAAGACCAGAGAGCACCCAAGAGCAAAAAUCCUCGGAAGAGUAACCAGGGCUACAAAGCCCAUAAUAAGGCUUAAGAACAAAUAGCCCGAAAAGCGCUUAAGGGCAAAUAGCUCGGAAGGUUCAAAAAGCAAAAAUACUCAGACGAAGGUCCAAAGAAGCGCUUACGAGCCAAAGCACCCAGAUGAAAACCUAGGGCUAAAAAGAGCCCGGUCGAAUACGAAAAGCGAAAAGCGCUCUGACCAAAACUCAAGACUAAGAGCCCGGAAGAUGCUUAAAGAGCAAAAUGCUCGGACUAAGAGUCCAAAAAAUGAUAAAGAGCAAAAAUGCUCAGACUAAGAUCCAGGGCUAAAAGAUCCUAGAAGAAAACAAACAGCAAAAGCGCUUAGACCAAAAAUUAGGGCUAAGAACCCAGAGGAAGAUCAUAAGGAGCCUAAGAGCUCGAACAAAAAAAUCAAAGCUAAAGAGUCCAGAAAAAAAAAAAAAACUAAAACGCUUGCAAAAAUAUUCAAGGCAAAAGAACCCAAAAUGAUUUAGAAAAUCAAAGAGUUCGGACGAAUGUAUAGGGCUAAAGAGCACCGUAAAGAGUUAAAAUUGUCAUAAAAAUAGCCAGGAGUAAAAAACCCAACCCAGUAAAGUGCUAAAUCGCUCGUAAAACUAAUCAACUGAAACACUUAUUAAAAAAUCCAGGGUUACAGAAGAUGCCUCAAAGAAAAUAAUCAGAAGAAGACCCAAAAGGGCAUACCAAUAAGGAUAGGUCAAAAGGACAAGGCCGGAAAGGACAACUGUCAAGUCAAACCUCCCAUAAAGAAGACACGAAAGGACAAACUAUUAAGGUUAGGUCGAAAAGGCAAGGCUAAAAGGCCAGAGCACCGGGUCGAACCUUCCGAAAGGAAAACUACCAAGGUCAUAUUUCCUAUGAAGAAGACCACCAAAAUCAUAUCUCCCAAAUAGAAGAUUAUCAAGUAUAAAAUUUGCUCCCCUAGUUCGAUCUAUGCUAAAGUUGACUAAUUCAAUUCCCUUUGAAAUUCAUAAGCGUUACUAAAUGAACAGGCUGCUCCAAAUUAGCAUGUCGGGUUCCCUUUAUCUUAUGGUCAUAAAUAAUCAUAGAGAAGCGAAAAGGCAAUUGAUAACAUAUAAAAAAUAGGAUCCAUUAAGAUUAUGACACGUGUACACGUGAUCACAAGGGGUAUUCGGAUCUUUCCAUCUGGUCAGACCAGAUAGUAGGAAGCCCCGACCUAUUGAGUAUAGCGAAUAAGACCAGUCUGGAGCAAACAGACCGACCUCCUCAAAGUCCGAAGAAGAUGGGCAAACCUCUUCAAAACUCAUACUACAAUGAGGCUUUGAAUGCAGACGUGGCCGACCUCAGUGAACGAAAGAAACUAAC
This 8301-nucleotide long non-coding RNA is filed under the name Manihot esculenta (cassava). RNAcentral's name for it is "long non-coding RNA (MESC_LNC001721)". Lineage: Eukaryota; Viridiplantae; Streptophyta; Magnoliopsida; Malpighiales; Euphorbiaceae. The record is from RNAcentral.